GAUGAACGCUGGCGGCGUGCCUAAUACAUGCAAGUCGAGCGAACGGACGAGAAGCUUGCUUCUCUGAUGUUAGCGGCGGACGGGUGAGUAACACGUGGAUAACCUACCUAUAAGACUGGGAUAACUUCGGGAAACCGGAGCUAAUACCGGAUGAUAUUUUGAACCGCAUGGUUCAAAAGUGAAAGACGGUCUUGCUGUCACUUAUAGAUGGAUCCGCGCUGCAUUAGCUAGUUGGUAAGGUAACGGCUUACCAAGGCAACGAUGCAUAGCCGACCUGAGAGGGUGAACGGCCACACUGGAACUGAGACACGGUCCAGACUCCUACGGGAGGCAGCAGUAGGGAAUCUUCCGGAAUGGGCGAAAGCCUGACGGAGCAACGCCGCGUGAGUGAUGAAGGUCUUCGGAUCGUAAAACUCUGUUAUUAGGGAAGAACAUAUGUGUAAGUAACUGUGCACAUCUUGACGGUACCUAAUCAGAAAGCCACGGCUAACUACGUG
RNAcentral lists this ribosomal RNA (497 nucleotides) under uncultured bacterium. RNAcentral describes it as "partial 16S ribosomal RNA". It matches the Rfam family "Bacterial small subunit ribosomal RNA", at positions 28 to 507 of the family's 1533-position model. The record is from RNAcentral.